CCUGCGGAAGGUCAUUAAAAGUCAUUAUAUUUAUGAAACCCUUCUGUGUAUUUUUACCUGUUUGGCUUCUGGCAAAAUAGAGUAUAAUAAACUCUCCAGAACAAAAUGCUUUAAACUAUUAUUUUCAAUAAUAUCUGUCUGAUUUUGUAAUAAAUAAAUAUUAAAACUUUCAACAACGGAUCUCUUGGUUCUCGCAUCGAUGAAGAACGCAGCGAAAUGCGAUAAGUAGUGUGAAUUGCAGAAUUCAGUGAAUCAUCGAAUCUUUGAACGCACAUUGCGCCUUCUAGUAUUCUGGGAGGCAUGCCUGUUUGAGCGUCAUUAAACCUCUCUCAAGUAAGAUUUACUUGGAUGUGAAGGAAGAGUACUUUAAAACUUUAAGGAGUUCUCCUUUGAAAUUGAUUAGCAGAUGGAAAAGUUAUCAAAUCCCUGAUGUUGUAUAAAAUAACAGCAGUUUUGUAGACUAAUUAUAUCUAGCUUCAAAUUCUGAUUUCUAUUAUGGUUGACCUCAAAUCAGGUAAGGAUACCCGCUGAACUUAAGCAUAUCAAUAA
Molecule: small RNA, 549 nt
Filed under: Pyronemataceae sp. SB117
Lineage: Eukaryota; Fungi; Ascomycota; Pezizomycetes; Pezizales; Pyronemataceae
Description: eukaryotic LSU rRNA
Rfam family: 5.8S ribosomal RNA (bases 165-318)
Source: RNAcentral